RNAcentral lists this ribosomal RNA (484 nucleotides) under uncultured bacterium. RNAcentral describes it as "partial 16S ribosomal RNA". It matches the Rfam family "Bacterial small subunit ribosomal RNA", at positions 30 to 507 of the family's 1533-position model. The record is from RNAcentral.
AUUGAACGCUGGCGGCAGGCCUAACACAUGCAAGUCGAGCGGAUGAAGGGAGCUUGCUCCUGGAUUCAGCGGCGGACGGGUGAGUAAUGCCUAGGAAUCUGCCUGGUAGUGGGGGAUAACGUCCGGAAACGGGCGCUAAUACCGCAUACGUCCUGAGGGAGAAAGUGGGGGAUCUUCGGACCUCACGCUAUCAGAUGAGCCUAGGUCGGAUUAGCUAGUUGGUGGGGUAAAGGCCUACCAAGGCGACGAUCCGUAACUGGUCUGAGAGGAUGAUCAGUCACACUGGAACUGAGACACGGUCCAGACUCCUACGGGAGGCAGCAGUGGGGAAUAUUGGACAAUGGGGGAAAGCCUGAUCCAGCCAUGCCGCGUGUGUGAAGAAGGUCUUCGGAUUGGAAAGCACUUUAAGUUGGGAGGAAGGGCAGUAAGUUAAUACCUUGCUGUUUUGACGUUACCAACAGAAUAAGCACCGGCUAACUUCGUG